Molecule: long non-coding RNA, 2997 nt
Organism: Bos grunniens (domestic yak)
Lineage: Eukaryota; Metazoa; Chordata; Mammalia; Artiodactyla; Bovidae
Source: Ensembl
AUGUUUUUACUUUCAAACAAUCCUUCAGAAGCACAGUUAGGUGUGUUUUUUUUUUUUCAAACAAAGGCAGUUGAAUGUGUUCCCAUUUCCCUUUUCAAAACCCAUUCUUUAGAUCAAGAAUUGCUUCCUUUUCUUAACAAAGAUAUUUACAGAGCUGUGGACUUUUUUUAGUCAUCCACAUCAAAUUAUUACCAUAGAAGUUGCAAAGGGAGUUUCUAAAUCUGCUGUGAGUAUUUGAUUUACAGUAAUCGUUCCAGUAUUUCUAGUGAUGCUUUGCUGGGGAGGGAUUUUUAAGUUUCCUUAAUAAUUGGUUUACACACCUUUAACAAAAUUUAUUAAUAUGUUACAUUUGUAUUGAAUACCCUUGACGUUUAUGGACUUAAUAUAAGUGAUUUCAACUAUGUGAAAAUGAUCUGAUAUCUAUGACAUGGUUUGAUUUGUUUUUGCUGAGGUAAAAUAUUCAAACUGAGCACACAGACAAGCUGGUGUGCUGAGUACAAGUCAUCAUCUCAAUGCACAUUAUUCACUGAAUAUAUGGUAAUUUCUCUGCAGUAAUUUAAACCUUUGUCUUUUUGUGAAAAAAUGACUAUAAAUCACAGAAAAAUCUUCAAUUAAGUUUAAAACAUUAGCGUAGAUUGUGAGUGCAUGCAAAAAGAAAACCAAAGUGAAAUAUGAUUCCAGAUGAACUCAAGAGUCUUUACAAACUAGCAUUCACAAAGUGAGGAUUUCUGAAAGUAAUGAUAAUACCACCCAGAAUUUUAAGGGUUUAUUUCAGGAAUGGAAGGCAUGAUUCAACUCUAAUAUCAACUCUGACUGACUUAUGAGGUUGUCCACUUAUUUUAUCAUGUCUUAAUUUGUAAUUGUUUGUAUGUAUCCUUGCCUUUUCCCCUAUCAUCAUGCAAAAAUAAAUUGCAAAAUCAAUGUAGAAGCUAUUAUCAUUUGGUUAUCCAACCUCCAUUUCUUUUCUUCUCGCUGCCUAAGAGAAUAGCAGUUUUCUUUAUCUAGUCUCCGCUAAACAUUAUGUUUUUUCAUGUGGUAGUGGGGAUAAUGAUUAUUCUAAGCCAAUACCUGGCAUGCCUCCUAGAACGUAUUCUUAGCCUAGAGCAUCCAUAUUCAAUUGGCCCCACUAAAUGAAAGAUAAAGGCUUAUUUUCAAUAAUCAGAACUUUUUCUCUCUGUAUUUUUGUGCUCUUGUCUUCUCCCCGUUCAGUUUCUCUUGCUCCAUAGCUCCCCUAAAUUGUCCUUCCUUAUUCACAUAUUCACUGAUGAAUAGUAGUAGCUAACAACAAGAGAAGUUAUAGGCCUAAUUGUCCUACUAACCAUUUGUAACCAAAACAGGAACCUGCUUUAGAGUAGAGAUCUGUUGAAGAUAUCAGGAUAAAUACUACCAAGAAUACCAAAUAUUUUCAGUGUCAUAAUUAACUUGCGUAUCGAAUUGCACCAAAAAACUGGUCUCUUUAAAACUCCAUUUAUGUGAAAUGAUACAUUUUAAAAAAUACAUUUGACCCCAAAUAGUAUUUUUGUUUGUAGCAGACAAAAGUUUCCUACUUAAUAUACUCAGUGAAGAUAGGAACUUUCUUUUCAUUUUGAGGGCACUUGUAUCUAGACCAAUGUUUUACAUUAAAAAUACAUUUGUAUAUAAGUUUGAAAUCUCUGUAAAUCUUAAUUUGGGUACAUUAGUUUCUUUAUGAAUAAACGUACCUCUUCCACCAUGCCUGCAGCACAUUACUUCUCCAUUCCUACUACUUUACAAUAAUCCUCUUGACCAGUCCUCCAAAAUAUCCAGAACAUUUUGAGACAUAUUAAUUUUAAAUGUGUAUAAACAAAGCUUCACAAGGUUAAGAAAUUUAGCCAAAACUUAAUUACAAAUGUGAAAAAAAAGCAUUUUGACCAUAAAGUGACACAUUGAACUGUUGAUUUUCAUUGUGGUUUUAUUCAAGAAAUAUCCAAGAAACCUAUAAAUCUUUUCAAUUCAAUUAAACAACUAAUUAAUUCACUGGAGAAAAACAUUAUACCACUUAUUUGACUGGAUUGAUCAGCCAGUUUGAUUGAAAUAGCAAAUUCACCAUUCUCAUGGAGAUAAAGUUGGCUGGACAUUUUUUCCCAAUUAAUAAAAGGAGAGGGUUUCACAAAAAUCAAUUGAAUCACUUACUCUUAUGUAGUGGAGAUGCAGCCUGAUUUAGUAUUUGAACACUGUUGCCACGCUUUCAAGCAUGGUAAAACCGAAAGGCUUCUGAACGAGAAGAUAAAGAAACUGGACUAAGGAGAAAAUGGUUGAGACCUAAAUUUGAUGAAAAGAAAGCUUCUUACACACUCAGGGAAGUUGUAUAGGCGGGUCUUGUUUAUGUGAAGAAGAACCUUCCCAAGGUUCUUUUCUAGAUGAAGACUAGGAAAGGUUUCAUCAUAGAAGUCCAAGAAGGACUGGUGCACAGCAGUCAUGGAAGGUAUUCAGUAGUCACGUAAAUAAUACUUCAUGGUUGUAGAAAGAAUUAAGAUUUGAAGUAGAAAAAAAAUGCUGAUAUCUGGAAGCAGAACAUAAGAGAUUGGGGACAAACAGCUGAUGAAGAUGCUUUUAACAAUAUGGACAUAAGAAAGACCUGUGUGGUAUUUUAACAUGUUCCAGAUGUUUUAUCAUUUUACAUAUUAAGGGCUUCCCUUGUGACUCAGCUGCUAAAGAAUCCGCCUGCAAUGUGGGAGACUUGGGUUCAAUCCCUGGGUUGGGAAGAUCCUCUGAAGAAGGGAAAGGCUACCCACUCUAGUAGUCUGGCCUGGAGAAUUCCAUGGACUGUAUAGUCCAUGGGGUCACAAAGAGUCAGACACGACUGAGCAACUUUCACUUUUCACUAAUCUUUUUCUAGUACUUGGUUCUCAUUCAAACCCCACUUUUCAGAUGUUUUCCAUCUCUCCUCAUUUCUCCUUCUCGACAGGUUCUCGUGAAGAGGUAUUCUUAAGUUCCAAAGCUGGCUCUCUAUCUUCCUGUCCCUUUUGUUCUGUUGCA